Molecule: ribosomal RNA, 481 nt
Filed under: uncultured bacterium
Lineage: Bacteria
Description: partial 16S ribosomal RNA
Rfam family: Bacterial small subunit ribosomal RNA
Source: RNAcentral
GAUGAACGCUGGCGGCGUGCUUCACACAUGCAAGUCGAACGAAGCACUUUAUUUGAUUUCCUUCGGGACUGAUUAUUUUGUGACUGAGUGGCGGACGGGUGAGUAACGCGUGGGUAACCUGCCUUGUACAGGGGGAUAACAGUUGGAAACGGCUGCUAAUACCGCAUAAGCGCACAGCAUCGCAUGAUGCAGUGUGAAAAACUCCGGUGGUAUAAGAUGGACCCGCGUUGGAUUAGCUAGUUGGUGAGGUAACGGCCCACCAAGGCGACGAUCCAUAGCCGACCUGAGAGGGUGACCGGCCACAUUGGGACUGAGACACGGCCCAAACUCCUACGGGAGGCAGCAGUGGGGAAUAUUGCACAAUGGGCGAAAGCCUGAUGCAGCGACGCCGCGUGAGCGAAGAAGUAUUUCGGUAUGUAAAGCUCUAUCAGCAGGGAAGAUAAUGACGGUACCUGACGAAGAAGCACCGGCUAAAUACGUG